Molecule: ribosomal RNA, 246 nt
Filed under: uncultured Lactobacillus sp.
Lineage: Bacteria; Bacillati; Bacillota; Bacilli; Lactobacillales; Lactobacillaceae
Description: partial 16S ribosomal RNA
Rfam family: Bacterial small subunit ribosomal RNA
Source: RNAcentral
CGUGGGUAACCUGCCCAAGAGAUCGGGAUAACACCUGGAAACAGAUGCUAAUACCGGAUAAAAACAGAUGGUGCCUAUCAACUGUUUAAAAGAUGGUUCUGCUAUCACUCUUGGAUGGACCUGCGGUGCAUUAGCUAGUUGGUAGGGUAACGGCCUACCAAGGCGAUGAUGCAUAGCCGAGUUGAGAGACUGAUCGGCCACAUUGGGACUGAGACACGGCCCAAACUCCUACGGGAGGCAGCAGCA